GGUAUGAGGAGGUAAUUAAUAGACAAAGUUUAAACAUGAGUGUGGUCUUGGAUCCAUCUUUUCUGGGUUGGAAUGCCAAUUCUUUCAGCUUUUACUACCUGGGAAACUCUAGCCAAGUUACUCAAACAUUAUUUUCCCAACUGAAAAUAUAGAUUGCCUUGUUAAGUAAGUUAUUGGAUGUUUCUUUUUUUUUUUUUUUUUUUUGAGACGGAGUUUCACUCUUGUUACCCAGGCUGGAGUGCAAUGGCGCGAUCUUGGCUCACGGCAACCUCCGCCUCCUGGGUUCAGGCAAUUCUCCUGCCUCAGCCUCCUGAGUAGCUGGAAUUACAGGGAUGCGCCACCAUGCCCAGCUAGUUUUUUGCAUUUUUAGUAGAGACGGGGUUUCACCAUGUUGACUAGGAUGGUCUUGAUCUCUUGACCUCAUGAUCCACCCGCCUUGGCCUCCCAAAGUGCUGGGAUUACAGGCGUGAGCCACCGCGCCCAGCCGUUGAGCCACCGCGCCCAGCCGUUGAGCCACCACGCCCGGCCGUUGGAUGUUUCUAAAGUCAUUUCUAUGCCUGAGACAGAAUGACAAGCAUGUCACUACAGCUGUACCUGGCCCUGUGCUUGGGAUACCCUGUGUAUGGCUGGUGUGUUGCUUUCGUGCUCCAACAGUUUUUUCCUACUGGAUUCUUAAAUUCCCACAGACUCUGCCAUGAUUCCUCACACAAAUAUGGAUACAGGGGAAGACAGAAGUCCUGGAAGGCAAUCUACCCAGCUCUUCCCUUCAUAUCCAGGAGGACUACCUGCACCAUCUCUUUCUGGAUGAUAGCCACUGUCUGCAGAUACAACCACUGCUGGUAUUUCAGCAGCAGAUGCUGUGAUUCCAUUUCACCAGAACGGCAUUGGCUAGUCUUUGUCAACUUGCCUGCUUGUUGGGAGGACAUAAAAACACUUCAGAAACAUACUGGAAAUCUUCAUGAGUAGGCAG
Molecule: long non-coding RNA, 970 nt
Filed under: Callithrix jacchus (white-tufted-ear marmoset)
Lineage: Eukaryota; Metazoa; Chordata; Mammalia; Primates; Cebidae
Description: lncRNA (ENSCJAG00000082922.1)
Source: RNAcentral